GUUUUUUUUUCUCAACGGGCAGAGAAAAACGUUUCUACUUGUUUCUCUCUUUAUUUGUUAGGGUUCCUCCUCCUUUGAGUUCUUCCCGUGAAAUCAACUUGAUGGAGUGUCCAAAUUACCAUAUUGAUCAGCACUUUUAUCUCGAGUGAUAUUCCUUUCGCUCUCUUUUAUCUGCAACUAAGUAAAACGGCAGAUGCAUUUUCCAACACUGAAAUCCUCUUUCUUAUCUACUUAAUAUAAGAUUUCACAAAGAAAAAGUUUUAACAAUUGGCGUCUUUUUUUAGUGACAUCAAAAGAACUGAGAACAAAUAUCUACUAGUAUAGAUUUAGCACAAAAUACAUAUACACGCAGACACAUUUCUUUUUAGCCAGCUAAUUCCGUUGUAUCUAAGAAUUUUAAGUCGAUGAUAUAACCAUUUAGUUAUAUCUUACGAUUUUUUAAAAUAAAACAUAUAAUAUGUUAACGAAGCUUAUAAUUUUUAUUAGCCACAUUUUUUCUUCCUAUCCAUAAUAAUCUGAUAGGGAUUUAAUUUGGACAAUGUUUUUUGUAUUUCUAGUUUAAUCUCCCAUUAACAUAUGUUCAACUGGUCAAUUUCUUUUACUACCUACACAUUCCUUAAUACUAAAUCCAAAUUAAUACUAAACAAUUAAUAAACUACUAUUUUUAGGAAAAAAAUUGUAACAAAAGUGUCAUUAUAUAUAUAUAUAUAUAUAUACUAUAAUAUAUAUAUAUAUAUAUAUAUAUAUAUAAUAUAAUAAUAUAAUAUAUAUAUAUCUAUAUAUUAUAUAAUAUACUAUAUAUACUAUAUAUAUAUUAUAUAAUAUAUAUCUUCGACUCACUUUGUCUUUUGACAAGUGAAAAGUGGAGGGAUGGUCCUAUCGCUCUAGACGUAACCAUGCGAAGCUCCACUCGGCUCCUUGACUCUAAAAAAACUUACCCUUUCAAUCAGGAUAGAGGUUGGAGUAGGGCGCUAGUAGCUCCUCCCAAUAACCAUGUUUGCCAUAUUCCCUCUAUUUGUUCGUUGUUGCAGGGAAUGAGUUCAGUGCCGCGUCCAUAGCACAAACAAAGUAGAGUGACAACAUAUAUUUCCGUGAAAGCAAGUAUUUUACAGGGAGUUGAGGCCCAAUAUCCUAAAUUCAAACAAUGCUUGGCGUUUGUGAUAACCGCAAAGGAAACUCAGACCCUUCUUUUCAGAGGGCAUCCGGGUAUUGUAAAAUCAAAUGUGAUAAAUGAAACAAAUCAGCACCUUUUUGGACUCGAUUUUAAUUAAAUUAUAUAAUAUUUGUUUCGAUUUAAUUUAUAUUAUUCGAUAUUACUUGGUAUUUUCCUUCCUAAUUUUAAUUCCCAGGCAACAAUUACUUUCAAAGCAUACGUGAAAAAGAAGAACAAGGAGGUGCAAAAAAGAUGUAAGAAGCAAAUUCCACUAAAGCCCGCCCCACAACUAUCACUAGAAGCGCUGAAGCUGUGACGAACCGCCACACCCGUAAGGUGUGACGAGUGUCACGCCCCCUGCUUUGUGUUACGAGCGUAACACAUGGUGUGAUGAAACGUCACCACCGCCCAUUCCUACUAUUUUUGGGUUGACAGCGUAACAGAAGCACGUUCUUCAUCUUUCUUCGCCUUGAACAGUUGACGUGAAGGAAACCUACUGAAGGAAGAAACGGUCAACUUGAUGGAUUGAUAUAAAUAGGAAAAAUUGUGGAACCUGCGAAGGGAACAGCUGCAAUUUUUCAGUUUUUCGCACCGCAUUAUUUUUUAACUGGUUUUUUCUUAUUUUCCAGCACUCGUACUUUCCUAGCAAUUUUUAUUUUCCCUUUUCUUUUUCCCAGUCAAUUUUUAAAGCAUUCAAUAAUUUCUCACAAAUAGUUUCUACAACCGGAAACUAUUGUGUAAUUUUUAACUGGAUCUAACUUCACGUUAAGAUCAUACGUAUUUUUAUUCGCUCGUUUUUAUUUCUUUGUCCGAUCGAAGACUUGUAAGAACAAAUCGCAACGGUUGUGUUGAGAAGUUCCAAGUCAUCGAAGCUAGGAAAUAAUUAAGCUUCUAUUAAUUUUACAGGUUCUUUAAUUUAUUGUUUAACAUUUAUAUAUGCUCUGCACUGCUAUUUAUUUAUACUAGUCUACAUCUGAUAUGGCUAUAAUGUAAGUAAUACAUUAUUGUUAAGGCUUGUUUUAGCAUGUUCUUGCUAAUAAACUUAGAUAUCGUAUGUAAAGUAAGCGAAUGGAAGGAUCAAAACCUAAGUUGGUUUAAUUUUAUUUAAAAACAUAACUCACUCUUUUAAAUGGUCCUCAAUUUACAGAGUUAAUACCAUGGGUUUUUGUACGAGAGUAAAAGACAUAACAAGACGUUAAAAGCAAAUACCGACGGUUUGAGCUUUUAAACGUGGACAGUGUAAACUUGGACAUUACAAUUUUAAAUCAGGGCGAAAGCAAUUUUAGAGUUAAUAAAUUCUAAUCAUUUCAAAACAAGUAUUUUUAAAGGGUAAACUGUGAGACGACGAGUUUCAGCAUUUAAGUUUAAUUAAUACAUCUAAGUCACACACGAGCGAGAGUUUACGACAAGGGUGUUUUAAAAUGGUCAGCAUUUUCUUAAAAAACGAGUUUCUACUAUAGAUUCUAUUGUUUUCAAAAGUGGACUUUUGGACUUAACUAACUAGUGACAGGCGCAACGUUAAUAAUACAAGUCAUAGUCUAAUUCAACACGACUACCCUUUAAAAAUACUUUUUGAAAAUGAUUAGAAUUUAAUUAACUCUAAAAAUUGCUUUCGCCCUGAUUUAAAAUUAAUGUCCAAUUUACACUGUCCAGUUAAAAGCUCAAACCGUCGUUCUAUUGCUUUUAACUUCUUUAUGUCUUUUACUCUCGUACAAAAACCAUGGUAUUAACUCUGUAAAUUGAGACCAUAAAAAGAGUGAUUAUGUUUUUAAAUAAAAUUAAACCAACUUAGUUUUGAUUCCUUCAUUCCGCUUACUUUACAUACCGAUAUCUAAGUUUAUUUAGCAAGACAUGCUAAACAAGCCUAAACAAUAAUUAUACUUACAUAUAGCCAUAUCAGAUAGACAGUAUAAAUAAAUAGCAGUGCAGAGCAUAUAUAAAUUUAAACAAUAAAAUUAAAGAACCUGUAAAAUUAAUAGAAGUCUUAAUUAUUCCUAGCUUCGAUGCUUGAACUCUCCACCACAAACCGGUUGGAUUUGUUCUUACAAUCUUCGAUCGGACAAGAAAAUAAAAACGAAGGAAUAAAAUACUAUGAUCUAACGUAAGGUUAGAUCCAGUUAAAAAUUACACAAUGUUUCCGGUUGUAGAACUAUUUGUGAGAAAAUUAUUGAAUGCUUAAAAUUGACUGGGAAAAGAAAGGAAAUAUAAAAAUUGCUAGGAAAGUACGAGUGCUGGAAAAUAAGAAAAACCAGUAAAAAUAAUGCGGUGCCGAAAAACUGAAAUUGAGCGUUCCCUUCGCAGGUUCCACAAUUUUUCCUAUUUAUAUCAAUCCAUCAAGUGACCGUUUCUUCCAUUCAGUAGGUUUCCUCACGUCAACUGGUCAAGCGAAGAAAGAGGAAGAACGUGCUUCUGUUACGCGUCAAACCCAAAAAUAUAGGAAUGGGGGUGUGACGUUCAUCACACCAUGUGUUACGCUCGUAACACAAAGCAGGGGGGCGUGACACUCGUCACACCUUGUGUGGCGGUCGUCACAGCUUCAGCGCUUCUAGUUGAUAGUUGUGGGCCGGGCUUUAGUGGAAAUUGCUUCUUAUCAUCUUUUUGCACCUCCUUUUCUUUCUUUUUCACGUAUGCUUGAAAUAAUGUUGCCUGGAAUAAAUAGAAGGAAAAUACCAAGUAAUAUCGAAUAAUAUAAAAUAAAUCGAAACAAAUAAUAAUAUAAUUUAAUUAAAUCGAGUCCAAAAGUGUGAUGUUAUUUCAUGUUAUCAACAUUUGAUUUUUACAAUUACCCGAUGCCCUUGAAAGAAGGGUCUGAGUUUCCUUGCGGUUAUCACAACCGCCAAGGCAUGUUUUUGAAUCUUAGGAUAUUGGGCCUCAACUCCCUUAAAAUACUUGCUCACGAAAUAUAUGUGUCACUCUACUUUGUUUGUCUAUUGGACGGGCACUGAACUCAUUCCCUUGCCAACAACGAACAAAUAGAGGAAUAUGGGCAAACAUGUUAUUGGGGAGGAAGCUACUAGCGCCCUACUCCAACCUCUAUCCUGAUUGAAAGGGUAAGUUUUUUAGAGUCAAGGAGCGAGAUGGAGCUUCGAUGGUUACGUCUAGAGCGAUAGACAUCCCCCACUUUUCACUUGUCAAAAGACAAGUGAGUCGAAGAUAUAUAUAUAUAUAUAUAUAUAUAUAUAUAUAUAUAUAUAUAUAUAUAUANNNNNNNNNNNNNNNNNNNNNNNNNNNNNNNNNNNNNNNNNNNNNNNNNNNNNNNNNNNNNNNNNNNNNNNNNNNNNNNNNNNNNNNNNNNNNNNNNNNNNNNNNNNNNNNNNNNNNNNNNNNNNNNNNNNNNNNNNNNNNNNNNNNNNNNNNNNNNNNNNNNNNNNNNNNNNNNNNNNNNNNNNNNNNNNNNNNNNNNNNNNNNNNNNNNNNNNNNNNNNNNNNNNNNNNNNNNNNNNNNNNNNNNNNNNNNNNNNNNNNNNNNNNNNNNNNNNNNNNNNNNNNNNNNNNNNNNNNNNNNNNNNNNCUCUCUCUCUUUCUCUCUCUCUCAUAUAUAUAUAUAUAUAUAUAUAUAUAUAUAUAUAUAUAUAAUGACACUUUUGUUACAAUUUUUUUCCUAAAUAUAUUUAUUAAAUUGUUUAGUAUGUAAUUUUUGAUUAGUAUAAGGAAUGUGUAGGUAGGUAAAAGAAAUUGACAUUGACAUAUGUUAAUGGAGAUUAAACCUAGAAAUAACAAAAACAUUGUCCAAAUAAAUCCCUAUCAAGAUUUAUAUGGAUAGAAGAAAAAUGUGGCUAAUAAAAAUUAUAAGCUCUUAACAAUAUUUAUAUUUUAUUGUUAAAAAUCGUAGAUAUAACUAAAUGGUUUAUAUCAUCGACUUAAAAUUCUUAGAUACAACGAAUUAUGUGCUAAAAGAAAUGUGUCGCGUGUAUAUGUAUUUUGUGCUAAAUCUAUACUAAGUAGAUAUUUGUCUACGUUCUUUUUUGGAUGUCACUAAAAAAUACGCAAUUGUAAACUUUUCUUUGAAAUCUAUAUUAAGUAGAUAAGGAAAGAGAUUUCAUGUUGGAAAAUGCAUCUGCGUUUUACUUAGUUGCAGAUAAAAAGAGAGGAAAGGAAUAUCACUCGAGAUUAAAGUGUGAUCAAUAUGGGAAAUUGGACACAUCCAUCAAGUUGGGAUUCACGAAGAACUCAAAGGAGAGAACCUAACAAAUAAAGAGGGAAACAAGUAGAAACUUUUUCUCUUGCCGUUGAGAAAAAAAAAAGAAUAUCCAGAAGCAUCAACAUCAGGAUACGCCUUGCAUGGAAUUCGUGCAAAAAAUUGUACAAACGCACAUGAAAAAAUGACUGUUCAAUUUACAUAUUGUUUAAAUUGGAUACUUGAUAGUGGUGUUUCACACCAUAUGACUCAUUUGACCUCAAUAUUGAAGAAAAUCAGAAAAUUAGAUAAAAAUUUCUACAUAACUACACCAACAGGGAUUUCAACCUUAGCUGAAAAUAUGAGAGAUGUGAAUUUAUCAAGUUCCCUUACGUUGAAAGAUGUGUUAUUGGUUCCUAAUUUUAAAUGCAAUAUGAUUUCAAUUCAUAAACUAACAUACGGUUUGCACAGUUAUGUGAUUUAUGAUCGAAACUCUUGCCCAAUAGAGGACCAAGCCUCAAAGAGGAAGAUUGGAUCAUGGGACCUGCAUGAAGGGGUUUUUGUGUUUAAAAAAUAACAUCAACAAGGAUUCAUGGGUGCAUCUAAGAAGGACAUGGAAACCUUAUGGCACAUCAGAAUCAGACAUUCCUAAAAUCAAGUUCCUCAACAUAUUUCACAUUUAGUCAAAUGUAAUUUUGAUAGAGAAAAUUAUUGUGAUGUAUACCACAACACAAACCAAUGUAGAAACCCUUUCCCUUUAAGUAUUAAUAAAGCUGAAACACCUUUUGAGUUGAUUCACUGUGACAUAUGGGGGAAAUGCCAUACUGCCAUAAACAAUGGAUCACCCAUUGUAGAUGACUACACUCAUGGAACAUGAGUAUUUUUAAUGAAACACAAGACAAAGGUUUUACAACAUUUGAUUAACUUUAGAAAUCUAAUCAAAAGGAAGUUUAAUAUGCAUACUAAGAGGAUUAUGAGUGACAAUGGGAUAGAGUUAACUAACUAUGAUUUCAAGUGCUUCACUCAAAAAGAAGGGAUCAUUCAUGAAAAUUCUAAUGUUGCCACACCUCAACAAAAUGGGUGUGUGGAACGCAAGCAUAGAAAAAUUAAGCAUAGAACGAGCCUUACGUUUUCAAGAAAAUCUCCCAUUAUAUUUUUGGGGAGAUUGUGUAUUGACAGUAGUGUAUCUAAUCAAUAGAACCCUUAUAUUGGAAAAUAAGGGAAUCACUUCAUACAAGUUACUUUUUAAGGGAGCACCAAACUAUGAGCACUUGAGAACUUUUGGCUUCUUGUGCUACAAGAAAAAUGACUCAAAGGGAAUUAGUAAAUUUGAUCCCAAAGCCGAAAGAUGUGUUUUUAUUGGUUAUCCACAAGGACAAAAAGGGUGGAAAAUUUACAAUCCAAAGACUAGUGAAUGCUACAUAUUGAGAGAUAUAGUGUCUUAUGAGCAUAUAUUUCCUUAUCAUGUGCAAGACAAUAAUGACCUACUAAUUUUAGAAAGAACUCAUCAAGUGAUAACCUCAAUGACAAGUCUUCACUAUAAUGAUGCAGAAUUGGAAGAACCAAACCUUGAGGAAAUUCCUCAUAAUGACCUUUACCCAUUAAGAAGCCUGAAUACACAAGUCAAUUUCAGAGUGAGCCUAUACAACAAGCACAUGUAUCCAUAGAUGACAUGAACGAGGAAGUCACCAAUGAUUCUAAAAAAUAAUCAUCAAGUGAAAGUGAAGGAAACAUCUCAAAUGAGGGGGGGCCUCAAAACAUGCCACACAUAAGACGACCACCAAAUUAUCUAAAAGACUAUGAUUGUGGCAAAUUAAACAUAAACCCCAAGUGCAUGACAUCAAUUCCAUAAUCCUCUUCAGGUAUCACAUAUCCCAUCUCAAAAUUCUUAAAAUAUGAUAAGUUUUCAUAAAAACAUAAAACUUACCUUACAACCAUCACUAAUAACGAAGAACCUCAGUCAUAUACCCAAGCAGUCAAGCACACAGUUUGGAGGGAGGCCAUGGCUCAAGAAAUCAGGGCUCUUGAAGAUAAUGAGACAUGGGAACUAACUCAUUUACCACAAGGAAGAAAAAUGAUAGGAUAUAGAUGGGUGUACAAAAUCAAACAUAAAGUUACAUGUGAGAUUGAAAAAUACAAGGUCAGAUUAGUUGCUAAAGGUUACCCACAAAUAGAAGAUGAGGACUUCAAAUAAACUUUUCCACCAAUGACCAAAAUGACCACAAUCAAAUGCUUGUUAACAGUUGCAGUGGCGUAAGGAUGAAAAUUACAUCAAAUGGAUGUUAGGAAUGCCUUCUUACAUGGAGAAUUGAUAGAAGAAGUAUAUAUUAGUCAUUCACAAGGAUAUAAAGUUCCAAACAAAGAUUUAGCAUGCAACUUAAAAAAUUGAUUAUAUGGAUUGAAACAAGCUUCUAGAAAUUGGUAUAGAAAGCUAUCUCAAUCUUUGAUAAAAUAUGGUUUCCAAGAUAACUAGACUGAUCAUAGUCUAUUUACUUAUUCACAUGGAUCAAUAUUUUUGUUGUUUUGAUCUAUGUUGAUAACUUGAUCAUUGCUAGUAACUUGGAAUGCUUGAUUGUAAGCCUUCUUUGUUUCUAAUGGAACAAAAUCACAAACUUUUCUUGGCCAAAGUACUUCCACUCUUAGAACCAUCAAGGUAUAUGAGAUUGGUUGGAUGUUGAUUUACUUAACUAUCAAUGGGCGUGAAUUAACCUACUCCGUUCAUAUUCUAAGUCAAUUUGUAACACCCCUUUUUCUACCCCAAAAUACUUAACAUAUAAUCAGAGUAAAUAAGCACGCAUAUAAACAAAAGGGCGUCACAUCGACGUUUUCAAAAACUAAAAACUUUCAAAAACCAACAUCAUUCAUCAUCAAUAUACAAUACACCUGGUCAUUUAAAAUAACACAUUUUAAUUAUCAUGAAUAUUCAAGAAUAUGCGUUCGCAACGGAAAAUAAUGAAUAUCCAUGCAUUUCAUAAAAUGAUCCAUGUCCCAUACCAUGAUCAUCUCUCAAUAAUCUCCUCAAGAUAACUAAAACCAUAUCCAGAAUAUUUGGCACUACGGCCUCUCAAACCGCAAAUGCAAUUAAACAUGUUCACAAGUAAUAACGUAGUACGUAUCCAAACAAGAUAUGAGUUCAAUACGACUAAUCUACCCAGUGUUACAUGACCAGAGCAUUGACUCACUACUUAGUCUCUAAAACAAAGCACCGAAACUCACCCGCUAAUCUCGAGUGAGCUACCUUCCACUUACUUCAGCAAUACUACUCUUGAGUAUCUGCACGAUGCCAUGUAAAGCAACAUUCAAACAGAAGGGUGAGAAUUCAAAUCAUUAUGAAGAAGUAUAAUAAGGCACAAUGAUUAAUCAACAAUUAAAGGAAUUCAUCCACACUCGUAUAACCAUGUAAAUAACACUAACCAAUAUUUAUUUUACAGGUUUCAAGCAUACAUCAAAACUCAAGGGAUAAUAUUAAUAAUCCAAUACUAUAUUCCCAAAUAUACACAAAUACUAUAAUUAUCACAUAAUCACAUAUUUCCAAGUUAUGUAUCCAAACAUCAUCAAAUUCAAUUACCAUAUCUCAUAUACACAUCACAAUCACAUCAAUGCAGUACAUUCAAUUAUCACAUAACUCUAAUGUGACAUCAAUGCAAGACAUGUGACUUAUGCAUGUGGUACCGCAAUGUGAACCCAACGUUUUCACCGCUUUCCGAUUCAAUAUCUAGAUUACAAAGCCACGCUUCCGAUCCGGACAAGAUCAAAGCCACUACGUCUAUUUCCAAUUAAGAUCAACGUCGCUACGCCUAUUUCCAUUCAAGAUCAACGUCUAUGUGACCCACAGUUUCACCGCUUUCCGAUUCAAUAUCUAGAAUCCAAGCCACUACGUCUAUUUCCAAUUAAGGAUCAAUGUCUGCUACGCCUAUUUCCAAUUAAGGAUCAACGUCUGCUACGCCUAUUUCCAAUUAAGGAUCAACGUCUAUACCAUGUGAACCCACAGUUUCACUGCUCCACCAUGAAGCCGACCAGUGCCAGAAUGAAUAUACAAAACCAAACAACAUAUGCAAUUAAGAUCAUCUCUACCAUCUUAUCAUCCACAUAUCACCAUAAUUCAACUUAUUGAAUUAUCCACCAAUGGUACAUAAUACACAUUCAUAACAAAUACACCAUUCACAUAAUAUGCAAUUAAGAUCAUCUCUACCAUCUUAUCAUUUCCACAUCUCACCAUAAUCAACUCUAUGAAUUAUCCACCAAUGGUACAAAUACACAUUCAUAACAAAUAUCAUUCACAAAAUAUAGGCUAAUUAUCAACUACUCACACUUAGAUUGCGUUUCAAAACGAAUACAAACAUUUAAAAUCUCAACUUUUCAUUUUCAAACAGUGGUAACCGGUUAACGCUCGGGGGUAACCGGUUAACACAAAACAGAGCAAGAACCGUUAACCUCGGGGACGGUUACCACAACAAAUGCGACAUUUCAGCGCGAAAUUUUUAAGCAAGUAACGGUUAAACGCUCGGUGGGUAACCGGUUAAGUAAAACAGAAUCAGAUUUUUUUUUGCAUUUUUCAUCGUUGGAGGACUUUCCGACCUCCGAUUUCGAUUCCGUAAAAGCACAAACGUUCAGAAACAUUAUAACUCAUACAAUACUUCUACGUAUAUAACAUUAAUUUCAGUUUUACACUAAUCAAAUCACCACAAAUCAAGAAUACUCAUCAAAACCUAACAUUUCAAACAACCAUACAAAAUUAAGGAUUUUUAACCUAAACAUACUUCUACCCAUUGACCCAAUCAUACUAACCCAUAAUAAUAAGGAUUCUCCCACUUACCUCUUUAAAUUUCUGGAAACCCUAGCUUCUCUCUUGUUCUUCUCCUCUUCUCCCUUACUUUCCUCUUUUCUUUCUCUGUUGCCGUCAAAUGAUCAAAUGAAUCCUACUUCUCACUCUCCUCACCUCUUAUAUCCUAGUAUUCUAUUUGGGCUUAAAGAAUGAUACCUCUAAUAAUUAUUAUAGGCCCAAUAAUACCUAGUAUUAUAAUAUCUCUAUUUAAUUCAAAUAAAUUAAACCAACACAAUAUACACACCAAGUUAAUUAAUAUAAUCAAUUAUUAUACUACCUAACAACCAAUUAAUUACUUAGCACUCCAAAUAAAUACAAUAGAAUAUAAUAAUAAUAAUAAUAUAAAAAAUAAUUACUAAAAUUGGGUUGUUACACAAUUCAUGUAAACUCCACUACAAGACCAUUAGGAUGUUGUUUUGCGAGUCUUACGAUAUCUCAAAUAUUUUCUUGGUAAAUGUAUCAUUCUUCCACAACAUAAGGAUCUACAACUAGUUGGCUACUGUAACUCAGAUUUGGCAUCAUGUCCUGUUACCAUAAAGUCCAUCUCAAGUUAUCUAAUGAAACUUGGAAAUCCUCCAAUAUCAUGGGGAAAAAGCCACAGUCUGUCGAUCCUCAAGUGAGGCUGAAUCUCGUGCAAUGUCACAUACCACAAGUGAAAUACUAUGACUACAUAAUUUGUUAGAGACUCUGCAAGUUCCAUGCAUCAAACCCACACUUAUGGAUUAUGACAAUCAAGCAGCUCUUCAUUUAGUUGCAAACACAAACUUUAAUGAAAUAAGAAAUCACAUUGAAAUUGACUGGCAUUUUAUUAGAGAACGUAUGCAGUCAAGUGCCAUAAGCAUAACUUACUUGUCCACCAAACAACAAAAUGCUAACAUUUUUACCAAGUACUUAGGCAUAAAAGUUUUUCAAGAUCACAUGUUCAAGUUGGAUGCUCAUAACCCUCACUCUUCAACUUGUGAAGGAGUAUUAGAGAUAAAUUUAAUAGUUUGUUAGGGUUUGUUAAGAUUUAAUAGUUUGUUAUUAGUUUGUUAGAGUUUAUUAGGGUUGAUCCUAUUUUCAAAGUUUGUUAUAGUUGAUUUCUAGAAUUUGUUAGGAUUGAUCCUAUUUUUAAACUUUGAAAAGAUAAAUCAUCAACUUAUAUAAAGACGUUGUCAUGUAGCAUCGAUAAUAAUUAGAAUACAACAUAUUUUCAAGAUAACUUUCGAUUAUUUCUACUUAAAGAUAUCAUUAAAGAUCAUCGUGAACUAUCUCAUGUCCAGUGUUAUGUAACUUUUUGGUGUAAUCCAUCUGCAACGUCUCCCUCUCAAAAUUGAUAGGCAUCCAAAACCCAUAAAUUUGGAGCGGAUUUAUUGAUCCCUCAAAGAAUAUCAAUAUAGUUAUAUUCAUAUAAAUCUUAUGAAAAAUUAGAACCUUACAUAAUUAUAUUCAUAACUAAGAUUAAUUUUGAAAUAUAAAGAAUAUAUUAAGCAUUCACUAUACUCGAUUUAAAGAAACAUAAACAUGCUAAAUAUGCAAUUAUUGCAGAGAAUAUCAAAAUUCUCAUAUCUUUUAAAAGGGAAAGAUAGCUCUGAGUUCAAUACAAAAAUUAAUAUCAAAGAGAAACAUAAACUGAUGGUGGGAAAUAUUCGAAUUUUUUACCCAAAUAUCCCUAAUUUUCAAAAAAAAUCUCAAACUACCCCACUUUUAAGUGGAGGCAUCAAACCAAUUGGCGCCAGCUCCUAAUGUUAUAGAGGAUGCGCCAAUUGGAUUGGCUAGGGCACAUGGUGCAGUCAAUUACACACUAGACACCUCAACAUCUAACCCCCAACAACAUUGUCAGACCGACUACACACAACCCUUUAUCCGUCAAACUUUUUGUUCCACAAACACACAAACAUACAACCCUAACAUGACAUACACCUAACUACAAUACCAAGAGCAUACCCCGUACCACCACCAACAACUAGAUCAUCAACCAGAGACCCAACAUCGCUUCGCACCCAACACAUCACCCUACUAAAGUUGCCUUACCCAAAACACUCAAUGAUCAUUUAAUACCAACCGUCCUUCCUCCUACCAUAGCCAAGAAGCCCAAACAUCUCAAAACUUAAACCUGCAAUAACCCUAUCUCUACCAAAUACCACAACAAUCUUUCCAACCUUUCCUCAACGCAUCAUUCACACCAGUGUCUCCCUUCAAUCGUCCUGAUCGCCCACUAACAAGUCAAACACAACCCAACUACUCUGGCAUGGGUCAUAAACUCAACUAUGGUGGUACACCUUCGAUGCAUAAACAAGACUACGUUGAAUUGUCUGACUAUCUCAACAGGCCAUCUCCUGCAGUUGGUAGUGAUGUUCCUGGGCCCUCAGUUGCUCAAAAACCUGUGGUGAAUCAUCAACGUGAGUUAGGGCCACGUGUUCGGGUAGCUAGGGUAUGUGAGACCGAAGGUCGGUUAGGUGAUCCCGGUCAUCAACAUUAGUCUUUUUUGUGUAAACGGGAAUUUAUAUUAAUAUGAAUUGGUCCGAUUUCGAAAUUAUGCAUCAUGUGGACUAUUUUUGAAAAAAAAUUACAAAAUACAUUGAGGUGUCAAUCCAAUUGGUGCCUCCUCUCUAAGUUUAAGAGUAGACGCCAAUUGGAUUGGUGCCUCCUCCUAAAAGUGGGGUAAAUUGAUUUUUUUUUAAAUCAAGGUUAUUUUGAGAAUUUUUUUCAAAAUAUAGAUUAUUUUAGUAAAAAAUUCGAAAUAUUCUAGACUUAAAAAUAAUAUAAACUAUUAUUAAAUUUAAUUAUUAAAGAUAUUAUAAUAAAUAAUAAGAUUGAAAUGAAGAGGAGAUAUACCUAAAUUGAAGGUCAUAAGGAUAUUUUGAAAUUGAGAGAGAUAGAAGAAGACUAUUUAAAUAAAAUUAAGCAUAGCAACAUCCUCUUUUUGAAAUAAUUAUGAGAUGACAAUACAUUAAGAUAUUAUAAUUCGUAAAAUGUUCUUGGAGAGCCUUUGUAUACUCUCUUGGAUACAAAACUAAAUGCUAAAUUAUAUAUGAACAUAAUCAUUGGGAGAGAUCAGGUAAGUACAUCUACAUCGUUUAUUAUCACACUUUGCCAUCUUUGGUGGGAAGCACCCAUAUGAUGGACAAUCCUCAUCUCUUCUACACGUAGCAACUCCUGUAUUAAAAAAAAAAAUGGGUUAUAUGUAUUACGAAAAAAAAGCAUAAAAGUAAGAAAAAAAUUCAAUAUAAAAAAAAUGUAUUACUUCCAUGGUUAGGUAGCACUAAAAAUAUAGAAAUAAAAAUAAUCAUAAUAUAAACAAAUUUGACAAUUUCCCCCAUAUUUCUUCCCUUGUAUUUAAGAAAUUGUUUUAUAAUUUUCUUUCUUUUAAAGUUCAAACUCUACUUACAUUAUUUACAUUAUUUACAUUUAGUGUCCUUUAUAUAGUUGUAAAAAAUCCUUCAUAAAAGUAGAAUAAUUAUUAAGAAAAACUUCUGAUACAUCGAUGUGUUGUAUUUAACACUCCAGCACAUUUAGUAGGCAUUUUAGAUAAAAAAUAAUCAAUUGAACUAAAUAGUUCAAACCUUUCAUAAUAUGAAGAGUAAAACACAGAAGAUAAAUAAUUUUGUAAGAAGAUAUAUUAAAAAUGUAUUAUUGAAAUGUAUUGUUGGAUAAAAUUUAACGUUCAAAUGUUGUGCAAUUAGCGUGAUAAAGUGUAUUUUUGGAUCAAAGUUAAUUUCCAAGCAUAAUGCAUUAGUUUUGAUUUCUUUAUUUGUGAUCUCUAGGUUAUUAGUAAUAUGAAUUUUGUACUUUAGGUUAUUAAUAAUAAUAUAUAUUUUGUUUUAUGGAAAUGCAUGUGUAUUACUUGAAGGAUUACAAUAUUUAAGUUCACGAAAACUUCUAAUAAAACAAAAAAAAAAAGUCUAAAAGGAUUAACAUUUUUUAAAAUUUUAAUCUUAACAAAUAUAACUAUUUUGUUUAUUUUUAAAUUGGUCAGGUCCUCACUCAUACGAAAAGGUUGGAUCUUCUCAAUAUUCUGAGUAUUCCUGUCAGUCAUAUAGAAAUAAAAUUGAUUUUUUUUAAAUAAUCAUAGUUUUUUAAAUUAAAUUUCUAAAUAAUUAUUUAUUCAAAAUAAAUAUCAAAAUAACCAUGUUUCGAAACAGAUGCACCAGUUGAAUUGACGCAUUCAUUUACAUUUCAAAGGAGACGACAUUGGAGCUGACGCAUGCUCCCAAUGGCCAUGCAGGUAGGCGUCAAUGCCUCUUGGUGCAUGUAUGUAUGUAUUGAUGUAUACGUCAAUGCAUCUGACGUAUGCAACUUUAUUUUUUUUUUAAUUUUAAAUGUUAAUUUAAUAAUUAAAUUAAAAAAUAUUGAAAAAAAAUAUUAUUUAUGUUAUAAUAAAAAUUACAUGGAAUUGAUCAAAAAUUCAAUGACCGACCUAAUUGAAACGUCCCCCUUUUCCACAUUCAGGUGCGUUAGUCUGUCUUCGAGAUUUUCCUAAGGUGUUUGGAAUAUUUGAGUGCUAACAUGAUCCAAUGGUGCCUGGUGUGAAGGUUCGGUGGAAGGUCCAGCAGUCUUUAAUAGAUGUGUCAUCAUUUGUUCCCAAUAGCUACAGGGGUUCUCGCCAACGACGCUUCCGUAAUUGAGUUUGGUGUCCAUGUUGUCGGAGUUGAAUCGAUGUGGUUGGGUGAAUUAUGGACGGUAUAGUUGCCCGAAUUGGGACAUUGAAUCGUUUUAGAAACGAAUCAAUGGUUCCUGGGGUGUACUAUAGUUAAACAAUGGUUGGGUGUUGUGGUGAUGAGAUGUUUGAGUGGUCAUUAGUGGGGGGCUACGAUGACAUGAAUUGUAUGAAUCAUCUGGGCUAUAGACUGUUGUGUUGGUUGCGUAUGGUUGUUGGUGGGUAUGGUUUGAUUCUUGGUUUUAAUGUUGAGUGUAUUGCAUGAAUGUGUUGCAAGGUUGGGUGUUUGGUUGUUGGGUGUAUGUGGUAGGGUGAUGGUGUGAGGUUGGUCAUUGGGUUUGGGUGGUUUGACAUUGUUGUUGGACGGGGACUUAUUGUUGGGUGUAUGAUGACGAAGCUAGUUGGCGUGGAUCAAUCAAAUACAUUGGCUCAGACACAAAUUGUUGCGUUGUAGCCGACCUAAACCAUGUCAUAUACUAUUGAGUUGGUAUAACACCAUGUAUGAUUGGCUCGUUUAAGAUGUGUUAUCGCCGAUUCCUCCAAUGACGACACAUCUCUUUUGCGAAGUCUCUCCAGUCGGAAUAAUUCCAUUAGGCAUCGACUCUUUUUUGAUGCCAAUCUUCCAAACACGUCGGAGGUUCUAAAAUUUGUUGUUGCAUGCCGAAUUGCAGUUUUACCCGGUCACUUUGGUGCAUCACCAUAGUAGUGAACCGGAUAAUUGGUGUUUUUACUGACCAAACUGCAACAUCAUCAUGGUUAACCUGAUGAUCAAGACCCAGAUAUGGCCUCUAGAUAGACUGUACAACAACACAACAUGAUUAGAUGAUAAAUAAUUUGAUAAUUAUUUUUAAAUUAAAAUAGAGUUAUGUAGGAGUAUUACAUCGUCUGGUCCAAUAUGAUCCAAUAGAUUGCGAUAGACUACUAUAUCGUGUUUCAGACACCUAUUGUAGUUCAUCCCUCUAACUGACCACCUAGAUAAAAAACAAUUGGAAAUAUUAUUUAUAGUUAGUUGUAAUAAAAAGUCUAAUUAAUUAUAUGAUAAAAUUUUAAACUUACUUUAUUGCAAACGGGAAUAUGAAUGGCUUCUCGUUUAUCGGGGCGAGUGACGACAUUCUUGACCAACCCCAUGCUUGUAACAAAUAUGCGUAUGAAUAAAAAGUACAAGUAUUUUUUUUGGAAUUUUUACACAUCACACUAUAUAGAUGGCCCAAAACAGCUGAACCCCAACUAUAUGUACUUACCUUAUUUAUGUUUCGUAACAACGGUAAAUACAUAAUAUUUACCGUAUUACCAGUACUUUCAGGAAAUAAACAAUUACCAAAUAAAAUCAUAAUAUAACACCGAGAUUUAAUUAUUUUUUUGUACUCGGUAGAUUCUUCGGUCAAUGUUAUACUUGCAUAAUAUUGUUCGAGAUAUCUUAAAUUAAUACCUUUCCCCUUAGCUUGACCGGAUGUCUCUCCCGCAGCUUGGUCGUCACACAAAGGGGCACCCAAUAAUUCAUUGCAAAUAGAGUUAUCCUGGUUAACUCUACCAUUCACGGCCUUACCAUCGAUAUGUAGACCCAACAACAUGUAGACGUCCUCAAGUGUGAUGGUACACUCACCGAAAGGAAGGUGAAAUGUGUGGGUCUUAGGUCUCCAUCUCUCCAACAAAGCAAGAAUAAAUUUAUAGUCAACUGAGUACGAGACUAUGUUGAGGAGAUUUCCAAAAACGCAUCCUCAAAUAUAUGGUUCUAUCAAAGGAUCGUGGGGUACAUAUUCAUGUACACGGCAUCAAAAUCAUUUUGGGUCCUAGUAAAACAUAAGUAAGAAAUAAAAUAAGAAGAAGUAAUAUACAAUAAAAACAUAAAUAAGAAAUAAAUACGAAAUAAGUAAGAAGAAGUAAUAACAUACAAAUGUCGAGAUAUUGUCGAUUGUUCCUCGAUAUUCAUCACCCAUAGUCAAAAGAGACAUAAUGAUGUAGAGGUUGAGUGUUGCAGAGGUUAAGUAUGGUAAAGAUGGAGUGUUGUAGAGGUUGAUUGUUAGUGUUGCAGAUGUUGAGUGUUGUGAGUUGAUGCCCUAUUUAUAGAUGAGUAAGUGUUGCAGCGGUUGAAUAGGUACGCAACAUGUGAAGCAUUGGAUAUGGUGCAAGCAUGUAACAUAGGUGUAGGCGCCUAAGGCUAUGGCGCAUGCUUGCUUUAUGACAUGCAUGGUCACAUGCGCCAAAGCUAGUGGCACAUGCAUGUCUUUUUAUGCAUGCAAGGAAGAGGCGCCUAAGGCUAGGGCACAUGCUUGUUUUAUGCACCAUUGGAAUAUGCGCCUGCCUUGGGUUAUUAGGGUAGAGAUUCCUUGUGUGCAGGCGCAUGCUUGUAGUGUUAGGGCAGAGAUUCUUUGUGUGCAGAGAUUCCUUGAAGGUGCAUGCAUAGCAUUAUCUUGUCUCUGCAUGGAUUCUUUGUAUUGCAUUGUCUUGUCUUUACAGAUGAAUUGUGCGAUCAGUGUAUACACCAUUUACCCUAUUUAAUUGCACGCGAAGAAGAUUCGAGACAACCAGGUAAAGUUUUAUCAGAAGAAGAUUCGAGAUGAUGAUGAUGUCCAUCAUAUGUUUGUCAAUCACGAACAAUCUGGGUACAACGAUAUAGAGUUUUAUAUAUUAGCACCACAACAACAAGUGUCACAGUUCAUUGAUCAAUCACAAGUGUUUUGUGAAACUGAUGACGACGAACAAGCUAAGGUCAACGUUAUAGAUGAGGAAGAAGAAGAAGUCGAGUUAUUGGUUGAUUUAAUGAUGAACGAUGAAGAAGAGGAGUCAUUACUAAUUAUUCAUGUAUAUUGGUUGAUUCAAUGAUGAACGAUGAAGAAGAAGAGGAGUUAUUGGUUGUUAUUGUCCCAUGACUUCUAAGCAUCCCUCUUUUAACAUUUGCUCAUCUGGUAGAGUUUUGAUAACGUAUUCCUUUUCUAGAAUGAUAUCUUUACUUGUUUUUCAAGUUACUUGGCUUUAAUGUGUGUGUGAAGUUUAGAUGACUUCCAUUGUUUCUCUUGAACCUCAUCUUGAUUUAACUUAUUGUACAAGUCACAACAUCCCUUGAUGUUAUGUGUGUACCUUCAUUGUUUGAUUACUUUUUGCUUAAGUUUCUUCGUUGUAUGAUUGUUUGCCUAUCUUUUGGCCUAUUUUUGGGCAUAGCUUGUGUGAUUCAUCCAUGAUGCUUGAGUAACUUAUAUGUGGAACCUAAUAUGUCAUACACUUAUGACUUGUGUGAUUGGAUACCAUUUCCCCAUGAUUCUACUUCAUUUAUGUUUGUUUGAAGUGUGUUUGCCUUUAGGAGCACGCCUAGGGUUUGGUUUUGAUCAUUACUUGCCUCAACCUUGGAGUAUGCCUUGAUAUGAUGCCUUUGUGAUGUCUUGAGUUUUAUUGUGUGUUUUGAAACCAUGUCUUUACUUUUGAUAUCAUGCAUUUACUAUUACCUUUGCCAUGUAUAAUUGUUCACACACUCGUGAUCAUUUCCCUUUACAACUUUGAAUGAUGCUUGUGCACUUUGGUGUUUGUACCAUGGGUUCAAUGCUUGUUUGAAUUUCUUCUUGAUCUGGAGACUUUAGUUAUUUGAAUAACAUCUCUUUGUUUUUAUUUUGAUGUGAUGUUGCUGCCCAGUUUGGUUUGAUAACUUGUUGACUGCUUUAGUUGUAUUCACAACCUAUUUUGAGCUUUGCCUCCCUCUUUCAUGACUAGUUGGAAUGAGAUGUUUCCAUUUGUAAACAUGUGACCAUUUGGUGAUAAUUUGUGAUGUCUUAAAGCUUGUUUAGACUUGAUAAUUGACCUCUAUAUCUUUCUUGGGUGAAGUACUUUCAUCUUUUCUACCAUGACUUGAUAUGGAUUACCUGGUUUAUCUUUCAUCUGUUCUUUCAUGACUUGAUAUAGAUUGUUAUUGCUUCACUUAUUCUUUCAUGAAUUUAUAUGAAUUGUUCAUCUUCUAUUUGUUCAUCCAUGACUUGAUAUGGAUUGCUAUGGAUUGUUAUUUUCUUUCAUGACUUGAUAUGUAUUGUUUAUCUGUCAUCAUGUUAUUUAUUGUUCCAUGACUUGAUAUGGAUAGUUUCAAUUUUUCUUCCAUGACUUGAUAUGGAUUAUUUUGUUAUUUCUUUCCUUCCCUCACAUGACUUGAUAUGGCUUACUUUGUGGAUUUUGUUUCUACUUUCACCAUGAUUUGAUAUGGAUUUGUCUUCUUCUUUCAUCACUUUUCUUUGUGUGAAUAACAUGUUCCCCAUAUGAUUUAUUCGGUUCAUUCUUGGUUAAGAUUGAACUAAAGUAGAGGUUAGGUUUGUUAACCAAGCAUGACAACAUUAGGUAGACCCUUUGAUCCUUAACCAUAGGUCAAUCUUUGCAUGAUUAUCUAGGCAGAUAUUUCCCUUUUAUCCUAACUGUAGGACCACUAUUGCAUGCCAACAUUGGAUUGAAGGUGGAUUUAUCCCCUUGUCUCUUAUUCUGAGUUUGAGAAUUUUUACGAGGAGAUUGAACUCUUGGUUGUUGAUAGGUCGGGGCUGCCGAUGGUUGUUGAUAUGCAGGGGGAGAAGGAGCACAUUGACAGGCUGGAGCAAGCUGAUAGGCCGGAGUAGGUUGUUGAACAUAUUAUGCAAGAUAAACGGGCUGCUGAUAGGCAAAAGGUUGUUGAUGGACAUACUGCUGAUGGGCAUACUGCUGAUGAUUUCUCUUUCUUGGAUGACUACUUCCUUGACUAAUAGUCACAACAUUGGUUUCACCCUUUUUCUUCUUUGGGAGCCCUCAAGAGAAUUUCUUCGGAUUAUUGUUGGAAGUUCCGACAACAACUGUAAUUUUUCCGUUUCUCAAGCCAUGUUCAAUCCUAGCUCUUAUAUCAACGAGUUCAAAUAAACCCAUGGAUAUACUUCCCACCAUAUUCUCAUAGAAGGUAGGUUGAACAAUAUCCAUGAAAAGUUCAGCAAGUUCUUUUUUCAUAAGAGGUGGUUCCACCUUAGAGGCCAGUUCUCUCCACCUUUGUAUGUACUCCUUGAAUGAUUAUUUGUCCUUUUAGGACAUGUCCUAUAGAUGUCUCUUAUCAGGCGCCAUAUCCAUAUUAUAUUUGUAGUGCUUGAUGAAGGUGUCUGACAGGUCUUGGAAACACCUGAUUGUACUCUAAUCGAGGCUCAAGUACCACUUGGAAGGUGCGCCAUUCAAACUGUCUUGGAAACAGUGUAUCAUUAAUUUAUCAUCUUCCACAUGGGAAGCUAUCUUAAGGUAAUACAUGAUGGGAUGGCUCUUUUGGAAAGUGUGACCCUUGUAUUUGUAAAAAUCUAGCGUUUUAAACUUUGUAAGGAUCACUAAACCAGAUACUAGACACAUUUCUUUGGCAGCAACUCCAAAGACUUGUUAUCCCUCCAUAGCUCGUUGUCUCUUCUCGAGGAUAUGAUAACUCUCUUUCACCUCUCUGAUGUCUUCAUCUCUCAAAUCAUCACCUUGAAUUGACGAUUCAACAAUAUGGUAUAUCUGGUGAUGGUCUUCGAAGUGCGGUGUGGCCCUUGCAUGGACAACUGGUGGUGCAACAGUGUCGACGACUAGGCAUGCUUCAGUGAAUAUUGGCAAAUGCACUACUUGUUGGAUCAAUUUUCUAAUCUCUAGUACCCCCUCUGCUCGAGGUACAAAGUCGAAAGGUAGCCCAAAUGGUGGCCAUGUAGAAGGUACCUACCUUGUAGGUUGGGUUCGAAUGAAGGACCUGAGAUUUUAAAAAUAACAGUCACUUGAGGAGUUUCAAGCCUGAAGAUCAAAGCUUAGAGCAUUUCUCUCAUCUGGUUGAUGCCUCCUUUGAUGUUAUCAAGUUCUGCCCUUACUAUAGCACUUUCUUGUUCUUGGUCGACCAUUUUUUGACGAGCUCAGGCUUAGGUGUUGUAUUGGUGUUGAAAAUUCAGCGUGGAACUGGAGGAAGAAAGAUGGAGUGAGAUUUUAUUUAGAAAUGCAUGAAUUCAUAUAUGGAUGCGUAUUUUGUUUGCAAAAGUCUUGGUUAAUUUCAUCAUUUAUUUUAGUAAUGUUACAACAUUUGUUUACAAGUAUUUAUAACAUUAAAGUAGCAAAACACAAUAAAUGAAUCUAAAAGCAACUUUUCAUUAAUUCAAAUUCAAAUACAAGAGAAAGCCUAAUGCAUUAAAAAGAGAAAUAGAAGAUUUAAAGGGACAAAUAACAUAAUUAACUAGAACAUCUACCGUCACAUUUAUUAGUUUAAGCGAUGAUGAGCAAAAAUUUAGAAAGCAAAGUAUGAAAAAUGCCCGUCACUAGAAAGAAUAGAAAGAAGGUUUCCUCUAGAGUUAUGUGUCAUUAUUUUUUGGAAAGAGGACACAUUAGGCCUAAAUGCGACACUCAGAAUGUGAAAAAUUCAAAUGGUCUCAUGGCAUGGAGACCUAAGAGUCCUAGUGUUAACUCCUAAGGACCCAACACUAGUUGGGGACCUAAAAUUCCAUGUUGAUUGUCUUGUAGGAAUUUCAUGCAGCAACAAAUAGGAUGUGGUUCCUAGGUAGUGGUUUUCAAGACAUAUGACGGAAGACAUAUCGUUAUUCAUUGACUUCGUCAAGAAAGAGCGCGACUUCGUUAUGUAUAGAGAUAAAAACAAAGGUAAAAUACUAGGAGAAGGUAUUGUGGGAAAUCCCUCCACAAUCACCAUAGACGGUGUUUUGUUUGUAAAAAGGCUUAAACAUACUCUUCUUAGCAUAAGUCAAUUAUGUGAUAAGGGUUAUUCCAUAACUUUUGACCACCUUAAUUUCAUAAUCGAACAUAAGAAUGUCAAUGAGAAAAUGCUUAAUCUAGAUGACAUAUCAAAUAUUGGUACCAAGUGUUUAGUCACCUAGAGUGAAGACUCUUAGUUGUGGCAUAAACACUUAGACCAUGUCCAUUUUGACUUAAUUAAUAAAAUAGAUUAUAAGAAUCUAGUAAUUGGUUUUCCUAAAAUAAUUUUUUCUAAAGAAAAGCUUUGUGAUGCAUGCCAAAUGGGAAAGCAAAUAAUAAUGGCUUUUAAAUCCAAAAAUAGUGUUUCCACUUCAAAACCUCUUGAGCUUCUCCAUCUAGAUCUCUUUGGUCCUUUAAGGACCAGGAGUCUACGAGGAAACUACUACGACUUUGUGAUAAUAUAUGAUUUUACUAGAUUUACUUGGACCCUAUUUGUAAGUCAAAAGGAAGAAACCAUUAAAUUCUUUGUGAAAUUUGUUAAGCUUAUCCAAAACUGACUAAAUUUUAAAGUAGUCACCCUAAGAAGUGACCAUGGUGGUGAAUCUAUUAACCACCAAUAUGAAAGCUUUUGCAAUAAAAACGGUAUAGCCCAUAACUUCUCAUGUCCGCACACUCCAUAGCAAAAUGGUGUUGUGGAGCGUAAAAACCGCGUUUUAGAAGAAUUAACACAAAUAAUGAUAAGUGAAAUGGGUUUUCCUAAGUACUUUUGGGCGGAUGCGAUUAACACCACAUGUCGUGUCUUAAAUAGGAUGCUCAUACGACCUAUCCUAUAGAAGACAUCCUAUGAUUUACUUAAGGGUAGGAAACCUAAUAUUUAUUAUCAAUCAUCAUCACAUACAACAAAUCAUACAUAAAUAACAGAGUAAUGUUAAAAUCCUCAUGCCCUAAUGGAGGUUAAGGAUUCCUCAAUUCCACCCCUCAUGCAUACAUCCGUUAUUGAAAUAGUUCCCCCUACCCGUUAUUGAAAUGCUUCUAAUUUAUAUCACUAGGGUAAAUCUUAUUAUAAUUCUAAUUUUGGCCCAAACUCUUAUUCCUCUUACUCCUUCCUCCCUUCUACACCUCACAAAUAACAUUUUGGCUUCAAACUUUCAAAUUCCUAUUAAAUUAAAUAAGUAUAAUAAAAUACUCUUAUUUCAAUUAUUAGAAUAGACUAUAAUAAUUUAAUCAACCUCUACUAGCCUCUAAUAACUCUCCACACUCUUACUCUAAUGUCACAUACCCCUACUGUCGCACCUCGAAAAAUGGGGAUACGACUUUAAGUGAGGCGCAAUCGCACGCUCGCAAUGAUGGACUGAACAGAGUCACCACCAAACUUUAUUUAUUCCUAAAAAGGAAAGGGGAAAUAUCGAUAAAACCCAAGAAAGAACGACAAUGAUUAUUGGUCGUCGCAACCAAAUCAGGGUUUGGGAGUUGAUUACGCAAGGGGAAGGUAUUAGCACCCCUCACGUCCGUUGUAUUCAACGGGAACCGUUUAGUUAGUUUCUUUUUUAAUGUUAGCUUAUGUUAGUCUUCUCAAGUUAUUAGGAGGGAAAAAAUAAUAGGAUCAAAAGAAAAGAGAAGAUAUUUUUGGAUUUUUGCAAUAAUGGGGACUAAACCUAAGUUUUUUAUUAAUGGGCCUGACAAGAUUUCGCAAUCCUGCUCCUACGUAUCUCAAUAGAGAACUCAAGGCUUACGUAGUUCUGGGUAGAAAAUGUUUGUUUGUUGGUCGAUUAGGGCCUGACAAGAUUUCGCAAUCCUGCUCCUACGUAUCUCAAUAGAGAACUCAAGGCUUACGUAGUUCUGGGUAGAAAAUGUUUGUUUGUUGGUCGAUUUUAGCGAAAGCUAUAUUGUAUUAAUCGACAAAAACAUUGUUUUACCCAAAACAGAUGAGGAGUGGACGUAUAUCACACAUCGAAUGGAUUUACAAAUCAUCAUUCGGAAAAACGUCACUUAUCUCGACUCAACAAUUGUGGCCGAAACAUUGUUUUGCAUUACCUUAAGACAAUAUAUCUUUUGUUCAUGAAAAAGGUUUUUGAUUAGUCGCACGGCGGCGAGAAAAGAGUUUGAUUGGUUGGAUGUAUUUUGAGUGAUAGCGAGAACUUGGAUGAGCGAGAUAUCCAUCUCGAAUCCUAGUCUCGGGAGUGCACGGUAUAUACCAUGUUCCAUUUCCAUCCUUAUUGAAAAAGUGUUUAAUAAAGAUUAAGUGUUUUGAAUUUGAUUGAGAAAGGGGUUUGAAGAAACCGCAUUGACAAUUUUAGACGAUGGCGAGAGCCAAGAUAGGCAAGGCAUCCACCUUGAAUCUUAAUCUCAGGAAUGCACGGUAUACACCAUGUUCCAUUUCCAUCUUUAUCGAAAAAGUGUUAAGGUAGGAAUUAAGUAUUUUUUUGAGUUUUAGAAGACGAAUAUUUAAGAACGAGACAUAAGCCCCGAGAUUAAUAAUUUAGGGUUCCACCAGAAUGCUAGAUUCCAAUGGUUCUUUUUCAUUCGAAUUAUUUAAGAAAAUUAUGUGGGUAUUGCUUAAAAGCACUCGACUUACAAGGGUAUAAAAAAACGGGCUCGAUUGAAUCAGGAGUCGUUUAAUUAACCAAAAUUUAAACUAAUCAAGGAGAAUUCUAAAUAAUCAAUUAAAUGACGUGAGUAUAAAAAUAAAUUAAUUUUGAUUUGUCAAAUAAAACAAACAUAUUUGCAAAUAGGUGAUAAAUAAUUAGAUAGAUAUAUGUGGAAGUAGAGACCAAGGAGAGAGUUAGUGCCCCCCCCCCUUUUAUCACCUUCUGUCACCAUGACUUGCUAUUAUUAUUAUUAUAUAUAUAGCAAAGCUUAAGUACCAAUCCCAAAACGACACGUGGCGCCUAAUUAAAAAGCAACAAAAAUAAAAGUUGAGAAUGGACCAAACAUUAGGAAAUAUUUCGAUCAACUUUCCUCCAAGCAUUCCACACAUUGAUCAACAAGCCACUAUAACACAAACUCAGACAUGCAGAAUGCAUUACAAACAACUAUACUAACAUGGUCAUUUCCCAAACAAAUCACAACAUUGCAUAUUCAAACAUCUCAUGCACAUACAUCCUAGCAGACCUGCUUGUGAAAUUACAACGGGCUGUAACCGUGCAUCAAUAUCAUAUAACAACUCCAUCAAUUCUUGCAUUGCAUAACAGACUGAAACAAACAGCUAAAAGAUGAACACUUUGCACUGCAUAACCAAUUUUGUUUCAAUCAGCAAAAUCAAGGCCUUGCUCGAAAAUAUUCCUAGCAUUUGAUUCAUAAAUAGAGGAAAACAACUACGACAUGGAUUUUUCAGUAAAAUCACCAUUAGGCAUAUCAAUCAGCAUGUUAAUCUAACAGUCCUAUUCAACUAAUUGUUAGUAAUAAAUCUAACAAUUCUAAUUUCCCAAUUAACAUUUGCAUCAUCUAAUUAACAACAUUCACUAACCAAUGCUUGGUACAACAACUUAACAUGAAUUAACAUGAUAGAAGUACAAAUUAAUGGCAUCACCACAAAUCAACACCAAGUCAAUUACUAAACCAGAACCUGCAGCAAGGAACUGGUUGCAGAACUGAUGCAACCUAUGAACCUGCAACAACAACUCCACAGAACCCUGCUCACAAAAUGCUAUGAAAAACCAUUUACAAUCACCUAACAUAAAUGACGAUAACCACUACUUUUGAGGUGUGACGGAAUUUGAACCGAAAAUGGAUCGGAUUGAAUAUAAGUUCAAAAAUGUUGAGGUUACCAUUGUUUACAUCCGAGCAACAGGUUAUGUUGUUGUUGACGGUUAGCUGCUUGUUCAAAAACUUCCUGCUAAUCUUUUAGAUCGACUUCUGCUGAUAUCCAUGCUAUGAGUUAUACCAAAACGCAUCCAGGAUACCACAAGUGUCAACAACGGAGUUUGUCGGAGAGAAAAUGAAGCUCGAAAAGACAAAUGCUUUAUCGCCGAAAAGAAAUUCCAGAUUUGAGCUUCAUUCUUCUAAUGAUCAGAACUUUAAUAUGUUUCGAAUCCGGCAUGGCAGACAAGCUUUACCCAUUCCUUUGAGUGUUGUCUCGGUGACGUCCUCUUGGAUAAUCGUGAGGCGACUUGAAGGGACUCCUUGGAAUUGUUUGUGAAGCUCAAGAACCAUACGAGAAUCGAUUUCGAAAACAAUAACCUUCUUACCGGCAUCCAAAAGCUUCUUAGUCACAUUACCGCUACCAAGACCGAUUUCAAGCACAACAUUAGUAGUUUUGUUUCUAGAUUUCUGGACAAUGGAAUCAACAAGUAGUGGAUUUUUGAGUAUAUGUUGACCUUUAGAUUUGUGGAAAGAAAUUCCACCUUAGGGUGUAUGUUGUGAAGGUUUUCCCCUUUUCCUUCUUCAGUUUACCUCUGGCGAUGGAGAUGCCACGACAAAAGUUGGAAACGGAGGCUGAGGGUUUUGACGUGUUAGGAAGGUGGUGAUGAUGCGAAGGUUAGGGUGGCGAGGGUGUGUUGUUGUUAUGCGCGUCGUUUUGGGAAUUGGCGGUUUAUGGCGAAGAUGCGGUAUUUGUGUGGUUCCGGGAAAAAAACAGACGAUGAAGGUCGGAGUUGAGGGAUGUAUCGAAGUUGUUGGUUGUUGGGCGAAAUGAACGACGGAAAAUGGGGAGGAAGAAGGGUUUACGGUGGGUUCGAUGUAUUGUUCCCGAAAGUGAAGAAGAGGGAUGAUAUGGUGGUGGUAGAAUUUCGCUGUGAGGGUUUCGUGGUGGUGUUUGAGGAAGGCGUGGAUUUUCGGUGGUGUGGCGGCGAAUGAAAGACGAUGGUGGUGAAGGGCGGAGAAGGGUUGUUGUGUGAAGGUUGAAGGUGAUUAAUGAUGAAAGAGAUGACGGUGAGGGCUUAUGGAGGAGGGAGUGUGAGUUAGCGUGAGGGAGUAGGUCUGCCAAAAGUGAAGAGUUUCCCCCUUUUUUUCUAGUAUGCAGUCACGUCCCGAGCAUUAAAGAUGAGGUUCCUCCUUUUAUGUUCAAUUUCUUAGCCACGCGAGAGGAGAAAAGAGCCGUUGGUAUUGUGGGCCAUUUGGUCCCCCCCUAUUGCUCCAAGUUUCUUCUCCUCUUAUUUCUCUUAUUUGUUUAAUUUUGAUUGGUCGAGAGAGGUGGACAUGGAUAGCCAUUGGGAGCCUUUGAUUAUUUUGAAAUUGACAACCAGGAUCGGAUAAAAAACACAUAAUGGUACGAUAAAAUUACAAAUGUCUAAAGGCCCUUCUAGAUGCUUUUAUUCAUGAAAAUCAAAUUCAAUUAAUUAAAAUAAAUAAAAUUCACACCUUUUAAAAUAACCACAAUAAAAAUAAAAUGAUGACAUGAACAAUUCUAUUUAAUAUUUCUGAAUUUCCUGAUAAAAUAAUGAAAAUAAACGGAUUUAAAAUGAAUAAAAAUUAGGUGCGAAAUCGCUCGAAAAAUUAAAUUGAAUGCACCAAAAUGAUCAGUAUGAAAUAAACUUAUUGGAAAAAUACAGCGUUUCUUUUAAUUUUGAAAUAAAUUUUGACCGGUUAAACAGGCUUGAGCUGAUCAGAAAGUGGCCAAAAAAUUAGCUGAAAAAUAAAUCGAGCAUACCAAAUUAAACUACGCGAAACGUAGAUUAAUAAAAUUGAUGUCUAGAAGCUUGAUUUUAAAAUUUUUCGUUCACUGAUUUAACGCACAUCCGUUGAUUAAUUCAACCGGUUUGUCUGUAGAUCCGAAAAAAAUUAUUUCGACUGAUAUUUUAGGCACUAUGCGGUAUGGAGUGCAUGGUAUGCUAUGUAGACAUGCAAUAGCUAUGAUGAAUGUAUUGAAUCAGCGAUUCUGGGUCAAAAUUGGGGUAUGACACCUACCAUCCUUAUUUAUUUAAUUAAUAUUAUCCAAUAAUCAAAUAAAUACACAAAAAUCAUAAUAAAUUAAUUAUUUUCAAUAAAUCAAAACAUGGGUGUUACAACAACUGCUACAGAUAUGGAGACAUAUUUCACCGAACAAGAGCAAGCCUUAGCCAAUAGGCGAGCUAAGAUGAGGACUACGUCGGCAAGAUAAAAUCAAUAAUUUCAAGAUGGCAUGAAUGAUAUAAAUAACUUCUCCGACCCAGAUAACAUGUGACUUAGGAGUUUGUAGGUUUUUAGUAAUUUCCACUUUGAUGCAAGGAAGAGUACUAGCAAACUAUCAUGAAUCCUCCCCACCCCCCUCUUUUUUUGCUUUAAUUAAUGAACUAGUGCUAUUAUAAAAAAAAGUCACCAGAAAAGAAUGAACAAAAGUGAUCGUCAUAUAAUCUCCCUUGAAUAUUGACAUUUGAUGAAGAAAAGAGAAGUUGACUACUUGUACUCAAUCUCUAGAUAUCUCACUUAGUAAGGUUUGAGCCAAAUAUUUCACUAUUCACUUUUCCUUCUUAUGAGAGUAUCCGUACAUUAGUUAUUUUCUAGAAUAUACAUUGUUUCUAAAUUGAGUCCAUUGGUCUGAUAAAUACACAUUGAGGCAAAUGUUUGUGAAAACUAUGAGUUGUUUAAAAAACCAUACUAUUGAAAUAUGAUUAUAUCCCUUGUCAACCAUUUGACCCUUAGUCAUUAUUUCGUCGACAUAACAUAUUAUAUAGCCAUUUGACUCCAAAUAUUAAACCUAUUCACCCUCCUUAGAGUUUGGUAGAAAUAUUUAUUUUACUUGUCUGAUGCAAAAGAAUAACUUUGAGUUGCUCUUCAAAGUAAGCAACAUUUAAGUUUGGGAUUGGAGUACUAUAGAAAUUUGGUCAAAAAGAAAUAAAAAUAAAAAUAAGAAGAUAAAAAUCACUUCUUUAAAAAUAACUUGUGAAAAAAGAAAAAGGACCAACAUAAGGAAUUCUCUAAUUCCAAGAAAAAAAAGAGUGAUAUGAAAGGAAACAUAUAAUACCAGGAAAACUAGGUACCUAACUCCAAAGGUGUAAGUCUAUUAUCCUAAAUUAUCCUACAUUGACACAAGCCAUGUCACAACCUUAAAAUGACUUCAAAAGUAUAUGUUUAAAUAUGACCUUGAUUGAUUCUGUUAUAAACUUUACAAACUCAUUGUUAAAUGCUUUUGUAUGUUGAUUGUGUGAUUACCUUGUCAAAUUGAGUGAAUAUAUGUGAGAUGAGAGACAACUUAAGUACUUGUAUGAUCGUAAUAACUUUUUUGAGUUACUUGGAUUAAAGGAGAGAAUUGAAGUGUUGAUAAAAAAAGUAAGAAAGGUGACAGACAUUUGUAAGGAUGAGCAUUUUAAUUUUGAUGAAAGUUUUAGUGUGCAAACAUGUUACUUGAGGACAAGAAACAAGGUAUGUUUUGGUUUGUGAUGGCAAUCAAUCAUUACAUUAUAUUUACGAGCAAUUUUUUAUGAAAUCGAUAGAUUAAUGAGCAAAAGCCAUACCAAAUUAUGAAGAAAUGAGCCAAAAUCUAUGAAGAGGAAGAUAUGUGGACUUAGUGGAAACAUUUAACAAAAAUAGAAGAAUUUAGCCUCUGGAUUUCACAUGGUCGUGAUGUUGACAUCGUGGGCACGAUGAUGUCACAUCAUGGGCGUGAUUCUUAGUAAUGCAUGCGCGAUAGUGCGCAGGCCUGACACUCAGUAAUUGCUAUAAAUAGAUUUUUUUGCUACUUUUUGGGGAGUUUCGAAUUUGAGAUAGAAAGUGACGGUCAUGAGCUUUUGGAGCACGGAUUUUGAGAGCAUUGGAGAGCUUAUUUUUCAUAGAUUUUGAUGAAGGAGUCUUAUCAACUCAUUAUAAUUGUUAAACUCUUUAUGAGUAGCUAAGUUAUUCUAGAUUACCGUAAUUGUAAUUCAAUUAAUACACAGUUUAUCAACAGGUAUAACUAAGGGAUUCAAGAUAAAGAUCUAAUCUCCUUUAUUAUCGAACUCUACUUCGAAAAAUUUCCCAACUUGUUUUCGUAACAAAACAUUGUUGAAAACUGUCAUUUGUUAAUAAUUUUAAAUCGUAUUAUUAAUACCUUGUUAGAUUUACAUUCCCUUUGUAGACAAAUUAUUUUAUUAAUUCGACGAGACAAUUACACUUGCUAGAAUUAUCAUCAGUAUGUUGUAAACGUUUGUGUUAUUGUUGAUGUUUUUGUUGAGGUAUGUUUCAAUGUUUGUGUUAUUAUUCAUGUUAUACCUUGUAUAUUGCAAUUUUCAUUAUGUGCAAUCAACAUGUCAUAGAUGAUGAGUUAUUAUAUUGUAUGUGGUUUGACUAUUUUUCUAACCCUCUACUAAAUAUAUAACCUUUCGAAUUGAAUUAGAAAAAUAUAAUAUGAGAUGUUAUGUUAUAUUUGAAAACAAGUUGCACUAAUCAGUAUUUUAUGAGCUUUUUGCACCAUAUUAUUUGUAUUUUACUCUUUAAUGGUUAGAACUUCGUUCAAUGCAUCUAUAGUUGUUCUGAUGUCACUUCCUUCACAUUUUAUUUCGUCUGCAAAGUAAAUACUUUUUUGGAAAAUGAAAAAGAGAUAAAGGAAGUGUUAGUAGACGAAUUAGAAGCAUUGGAACAAGUGCAAACUAUUAAAGAGCAAAAUACGGAUAAUGAAUUGUAUAAAGGUUGUACAACAUUGAUUAAUUUAACUUAUUUUUCUAUAAUAAAACUUAAUUUGUCAUAUUAUUGAACUAAACAUUCCAUAUAAAUUAGAAUAAACUCAAGUAAGCAUGUCACUAUAGUUGAGAUCUAGAAUCAUAGUGAAACGUUGUAAGCUAAUUUUUUCUAGAACCAUGGUGAAAUGGAUUGAAAUCUACAAAAAUCCCGGGGUUGGGUCUCGAACCCCUUACCUCAACCUUUUACUACGGUUGUUAUAUACAUUUGUAGUGGUACGUUACGCGUUUCUGUGUUUUUACCACAACUAAUAAUCCGUAGUGGUAAAGAGAGCACAUACAACCAUACCCUUCUUUACUACGGACCACCGUUGGUGGUGGAAUCCUUCUCACAACCGUGAUAAAAAAGUAUUAUUUAUAGUAAUGACCAUCCCUGCAAGUUAGAAAGUCAAUCCAUAUAUAUUUCAUACAACUUUUCUUACAUACAUGCGUGUUAUUUACCUGAGGACAUACUUACGACUUUCACUUUAGAAUUAAAAGAUUUUAGUUGAAGUUAAAGAUUCAUAAGAAGUUUCCUAGUAAAGCUAUUUUCUACAUAUUUUUUAUUCAAAUCCGUAGAAACAUUGCAGGAAAUUCUUGGAAUGUAAAUUAAAGACAUGGAGAUAUCUUUGAAAUUGUGUGAGACGAGGACAAUUUAAAAAUCAUAAUUUGCUGCCUUAUUUAAUUUGGUUACAAUAAUCUUAUCUUAAUAUACAAAAGCAUAACUACAAUUUGAUGGCAACAUAAUAACUAAUGGGAAUAUGGUCAUAUGGGAGUGAUCACUUUAGUACAUCUACAUCGUCUACCCACACACUUCGCUACAUAUGGUCCUUGGCACAAAUUUGGUGGACAAUCAGAAUCCCUGAAACAUCUAUUAAUACCUAGAAUGAAAAAUGAGAAUAAAAUAAUUUAAAUAAUAUGCGUUAAAUGUUUAUACAAAGUAACGAAUGAAUUUGUAAAGAAUAAAAAAUGGAUUACUUGCAAUAGUCGAUGGCACAAGAAAUAUGAAAGUAAAGAAAAUCAUUACAUAAAUAAACUUGACAAUUUUAGUCAUAGUUCCUCUUUGCAAUUAAGAAAUAGUUUUAUCAGUUUAUAUUUGUUAUGGUUUCACCUCUCCUCACACCAAUUAAAAUAUUUUUUGACCUUUAUAUAAUUGUAAGAAAUCCUUUUUAAAAUUAGAAAAAUUAUUAAAUAAUUUCUUAAGUAUAUCAAUGUCUAGU
Molecule: long non-coding RNA, 31136 nt
Filed under: Lathyrus oleraceus (garden pea)
Lineage: Eukaryota; Viridiplantae; Streptophyta; Magnoliopsida; Fabales; Fabaceae
Description: Pisum sativum (pea) long non-coding RNA (PSAT_LNC020357)
Source: RNAcentral